UAGGGAAUCUUCCACAAUGGGGCGAAAGCCUGAUGGAGCAAUGCCGCGUGGAGGUGGAAGGCCUACGGGUCGUCAACUUCUUUUCUCGGAGAAGAAACAAUGACGGUGUCUGAGGAAUAAGCAUCGGCUAACUCUGUGCCAG
This 142-nucleotide ribosomal RNA is filed under the name uncultured bacterium. Its description in RNAcentral is "partial 16S rRNA". It matches the Rfam family "Bacterial small subunit ribosomal RNA", at positions 355 to 511 of the family's 1533-position model. The record is from RNAcentral.